This 253-nucleotide ribosomal RNA is filed under the name uncultured bacterium. RNAcentral's name for it is "partial 16S ribosomal RNA". It matches the Rfam family "Bacterial small subunit ribosomal RNA", at positions 524 to 776 of the family's 1533-position model. The record is from RNAcentral.
UACGUAGGGGGCGAGCGUUGUCCGGAUUUAUUGGGCGUAAAGAGCGUGUAGGCGGUUCGGUAAGUCUGUCGUGAAAUCCUGAGGCUCAACCUCGGGCGUGCGAUGGAUACUGCCGGGCUAGAGGGUGGUAGAGGCGAGUGGAAUUCCCGGUGUAGCGGUGAAAUGCGCAGAUAUCGGGAGGAACACCAGUAGCGAAGGCGGCUCGCUGGGCCACGCCUGACGCUGAGACGCGAAAGCUAGGGGAGCGAACAGG